GACGAACGCUGGCGGCGUGCUUAACACAUGCAAGUCGAACGGAAAGGCCCUGCUUUUGUGGGGUGCUCGAGUGGCGAACGGGUGAGUAACACGUGAGUAACCUGCCCUUGACUUUGGGAUAACUUCAGGAAACUGGGGCUAAUACCGGCUAGGAGCUCCUGCUGCUUGGUGGGGGUUGGAAAGUUUCGGCGGUUGGGGAUGGACUCGCGGCUUAUCAGCUUGUUGGUGGGGUAGUGGCUUACCAAGGCUUUGACGGGUAGCCGGCCUGAGAGGGUGACCGGCCACAUUGGGACGGAGAUAAGGCCCAGACUCGUACGGGAGGCAGCAGUGGGGAAGAUUGCACAAGGGGCGGAAGCCUGAUGCAGCAACGCCGCGUGCGGGAUGACGGCCUUCGGGUUGUAAACCGCUUUCGCCUGUGACGAAGUGUGAGUGACGGUAAUGGGUAAAGAAGCACCGGCUAACUACGUG
This 468-nucleotide ribosomal RNA is filed under the name uncultured bacterium. RNAcentral's name for it is "partial 16S ribosomal RNA". It matches the Rfam family "Bacterial small subunit ribosomal RNA", at positions 28 to 507 of the family's 1533-position model. The record is from RNAcentral.